GAGCCGGCCGGGCGGCCGCGGGGUCGUCAUGGCCACGAGGAACGUCCGGGCUCCAUAGGGAAACGGUGGUGGGUAACGCCCACCCGGGGCGACCCGAGGGAAAGCGCAACAGAGAGCAGACCGCCUUCUUCGGAAGGCAAGGGUGAAACGGCGGUGUAAGAGACCACCGCGUUCCUGGCGACAGGAACGGCACGGCAAGCCCCACCGGGAGCAAGGUCAAGCAGUAUGCGCUGAGGCGUCCCGCCGAGCAUACGGGUAGACCGCUCGAGCCUGUCGGCAACGGCAGGCCUAGAUGGAUGGCCGCCGCCCGAAAGGGAACAGAACCCGGCGUACAGGCCGGCUCGU
Molecule: RNase P RNA, 345 nt
Filed under: bovine gut metagenome
Description: Bacterial RNase P class A
Rfam family: Bacterial RNase P class A
About the family: Ribonuclease P (RNase P) is a ubiquitous endoribonuclease, found in archaea, bacteria and eukarya as well as chloroplasts and mitochondria. Its best characterised activity is the generation of mature 5'-ends of tRNAs by cleaving the 5'-leader elements of precursor-tRNAs.
Source: RNAcentral